This 347-nucleotide ribosomal RNA is filed under the name Beauveria bassiana. RNAcentral's name for it is "eukaryotic LSU rRNA". The stretch from base 24 to 177 matches the Rfam family "5.8S ribosomal RNA". Lineage: Eukaryota; Fungi; Ascomycota; Sordariomycetes; Hypocreales; Cordycipitaceae. The record is from RNAcentral.
GCAAGGCANAACAAAUGAAUCAAAACUUUCAACAACGGAUCUCUUGGCUCUGGCAUCGAUGAAGAACGCAGCGAAAUGCGAUAAGUAAUGUGAAUUGCAGAAUCCAGUGAAUCAUCGAAUCUUUGAACGCACAUUGCGCCCGCCAGCAUUCUGGCGGGCAUGCCUGUUCGAGCGUCAUUUCAACCCUCGACCUCCCCUGGGGGAGGUCGGCGUUGGGGACCGGCAGCACACCGCCGGCCCUGAAAUGGAGUGGCGGCCCGUCCGCGGAGACCUCUGCGUAGUAAUACAGCUCGCACCGGAACCCCGACGCGGCCACGCCGUAAAACACCCAACUUCUUGAACGUUGA